Molecule: transfer RNA, 82 nt
Filed under: Spirochaetales bacterium
Lineage: Bacteria; Pseudomonadati; Spirochaetota; Spirochaetia; Spirochaetales
Description: tRNA-Leu
Rfam family: tRNA
About the family: Transfer RNA (tRNA) molecules are approximately 80 nucleotides in length. Their secondary structure includes four short double-helical elements and three loops (D, anti-codon, and T loops).
Source: RNAcentral
GCGAGAGUGGUGAAAUUGGUAGACACGCUAGAUUUAGGAUCUAGUGCCUUUAGGUGUAAGGGUUCAAGUCCCUUCUCUCGUA